AUUAUUGGACAAUGUGUGCAACGCUGAUGCAGCCAUGCCUCGUGUUUUAUGAAGGACUUCGGUUUGUAUAGCACUUUAAGUUGGGAGGAAGGGCUGUAGGAUAUUACCCUUAAGUUUUGACGUUACCAAUAGUUUAAGCACCGGCCAAUUCUGUUCUAGCAGCCGCGGUAAUACGUAGGGUUCAAGUGUUAAUCGGAAUUACUGGCCGUAAAGCGCUCGUAGGUGGUUUGUAAAGUUGAAAGUAAACUCCCCCGGCACAACCUUGAAAUUGCUUUCAAAACUGGCAAGCCAGAGUAUGGCAGAGCGUAGUGGAAUUUCCUGUGUGGCGGUGAAAUGCGUAGAUAUAGGAAGGAACACCAGUGGCGAAGGCUACCUCCUGGGCUAAUACUGCCACUGAGGUGCGAAAGCGUGGGGACCAAAC
This 421-nucleotide ribosomal RNA is filed under the name uncultured bacterium. Its description in RNAcentral is "partial 16S ribosomal RNA". It matches the Rfam family "Bacterial small subunit ribosomal RNA", at positions 360 to 773 of the family's 1533-position model. The record is from RNAcentral.